UUCCGGGCGCAUGCUAAUACAUGCAGUCGAGCGGACCGAACGGAAGCUUGCUUCUGUUCGGUUAGCGGCGGACGGGUGAGUAACACGUGGGUAACCUGCCCGUAAGACCGGGAUAACUCCGGGAAACCGGGGCUAAUACCGGAUAACACCGAAGACCGCAUGGUCUUUGGUUGAAAGGUGGCUUUUGCUACCACUUACGGAUGGGCCCGCGGCGCAUUAGCUAGUUGGUGAGGUAACGGCUCACCAAGGCGACGAUGCGUAGCCGGCCUGAGAGGGUGACCGGCCACACUGGGACUGAGACACGGCCCAGACUCCUACGGGAGGCAGCAGUAGGGAAUCUUCCGCAAUGGACGAAAGUCUGACGGAGCGACGCCGCGUGAGCGAAGAAGGUCUUCGGAUCGUAAAGCUCUGUUGUUAGGGAAGAAGAAGUACCGUUCGAAUAGGGCGGUACGGUGACGGUACCUAACGAGAAAGCCCCGGCUAACUACGUGCCAGCAGCCGCGGUAAUACGUAGGGGGCGAGCGUUGUCCGGAAUUUAUUGGGCGUAAAGCGCGCGCAGGCGGUCCCUUUAAGUCUGAUGUGAAAGCCCACGGCUCACCGUGGAAGGUCUUUGAAAGUGGGGGACUUAAGUGCAAA
Molecule: ribosomal RNA, 636 nt
Filed under: Parageobacillus toebii
Lineage: Bacteria; Bacillati; Bacillota; Bacilli; Caryophanales; Anoxybacillaceae
Description: bacterial SSU rRNA
Rfam family: Bacterial small subunit ribosomal RNA
Source: RNAcentral